This 253-nucleotide ribosomal RNA is filed under the name uncultured bacterium. RNAcentral's name for it is "partial 16S ribosomal RNA". It matches the Rfam family "Bacterial small subunit ribosomal RNA", at positions 524 to 776 of the family's 1533-position model. The record is from RNAcentral.
UACGAAGGGAGCUAGCGUUGUUCGGAAUCACUGGGCGUAAAGCGCACGUAGGCGGAUGUGUCAGUCAGGGGUGAAAUCCCGGAGCUCAACUUCGGAACUGCCUUUGAUACUGGCGAUCUCGAGUCCGGGAGAGGUGAGUGGAACUGCGAGUGUAGAGGUGAAAUUCGUAGAUAUUCGCAAGAACACCAGUGGCGAAGGCGGCUCACUGGCCCGGUACUGACGCUGAGGUGCGAAAGCGUGGGGAGCAAACAGG